GAAAAGAAAUGUGUACAUCUUCAGUAAACUCAUCAGGGUGGAUCUGGAGCCAAUACUAGCGCAAGAGAUGUGCAUACACAGGAUUAUGGAUUGGCACCCUGUCCAGGGUGUACCCCGCCUUGUGCCCGAUGCUCCCUGGGAUAGGCUCCAUGUUCCCCCGUGACCCUGAAGAAGGAUAAGCAGUAUAGAAGAUGGAUGGAUGGAUACACAGGAUUGUUGAUGUUUUCUUUUAUCAUACUUGCACAAUAGCCUUUAAGAAGAACAAAAGAAGAAAAUACUGAAAUUAUUCUCAUGCCUGGAUCAGGAAGCUGUCGCAAGGUUGUGAUGGACUUUAAGAGGAGACGUGGGCAGAGAUUUUGCAGCAAGUAGAUGGCAAGAAGGUCCUUUUUACCAAAAUUGAAUUCUGUCCUGGAUCAAAGGUCAGCUUUUCCUCUUCUCACCCUUGUCUGGGUGAGAUUGCUCUGCGAGUUGGCAUAUACAGUUCACGGCUGUGUACUGGGGCUGAUGCAAGCGGCAGUGAGAUUGAAGGUCAUAGACACAAACACGGACAACAGAACUGUUUCCCCAACUUGAAGUCUUGCUCAAUUUAUCAGUUAUCAUAAGACUUGUAUCCCCAUCCACAUGUCUGUGUGUAUGUGUGUUCCAUCAAAGCACAAUUUUCUGUACCAGAUUAAGGUCCAUGGAGUGAUUCUACAUUCAGACCCAGGUGACAGACAGCUUAGAGAUGGCAACAGGAAAGACUGGAAUGCUAAAAAAAAAAAAAGAUGACCCCAUCUCAUAAAUCUGCAGAUGUUUACCAUCUAGGCUUCACUGAGUAAUCGAUACAGUUGUAUAAAGGACAGCCGACUUGUCUGUGGAUGCAAUUAAUGACCCCAGAGAGGUUAGCCUGCAAUAGAAGCGUGGCUGUGCUGGAGAUUUAAAUAAAUGCCAGACAGGUCUGAGAUCAGGGGCUGAUUGGAAAUAAAUGAAAGAGUUGCAUUAAGAAAUGUCAGAGGCUGAAUUGGUCUAUGCCUUUUAAUGAAGGCUUUGAUAAAAUGGAGAGGCGGUGGUUGUAGUGGGACCGGGCCUUGGCAACCAUUGAGCCGGUAAUUGGUGGUGUAAGGCUAACAAAAAUGCGAUAAGGGAAGGUAGUGAACACAGGUGUUUGACCAUGGGCGAUUCAUCAGAUGGAUUUAGUUACCUAAAAGUAAAUUGGCCUAAUAGAGGAGUAAAAUAAGUAAGGUGUGCUAUAAUUAAACAGCAUUGACUUGCAGUUCAAUAUACUGUAUCCACUAAAGAAAUGCAACUUAGUAGCAAACUUUUAGCCCAGGGCUCAAAGAGCAUUUUAGUUUGCAGAGCCAAAUUAAAAA
Ictalurus punctatus (channel catfish) is the source of this 1349-nucleotide long non-coding RNA. The record is from Ensembl. Lineage: Eukaryota; Metazoa; Chordata; Actinopteri; Siluriformes; Ictaluridae.